RNAcentral lists this ribosomal RNA (686 nucleotides) under uncultured Eubacteriales bacterium. Its description in RNAcentral is "bacterial SSU rRNA". It matches the Rfam family "Bacterial small subunit ribosomal RNA", at positions 35 to 723 of the family's 1533-position model. Lineage: Bacteria; Bacillati; Bacillota; Clostridia; Eubacteriales. The record is from RNAcentral.
GCUGGCGGCGUGCUUAACACAUGCAAGUCGAACGGGAUUUAGUAGACAGAAGCUUAGGUGGAAGAUUACUAAUGAGAGUGGCGAACGGGUGAGUAACGCGUGAGCAACCUGCCUAUGACAGUGGGAUAGCCUCGGGAAACCGGGAUUAAUACCGCAUAAAAUCGUAGAAACACAUGUUUUAACGGUCAAAGAUUUAUCGGUCAUAGAUGGGCUCGCGUCUGAUUAGCUAGUUGGUGAGAUAACAGCCCACCAAGGCGACGAUCAGUAGCCGGUCUGAGAGGAUGAACGGCCACAUUGGAACUGAGACACGGUCCAAACUCCUACGGGAGGCAGCAGUGGGGAAUAUUGCACAAUGGGGGAAACCCUGAUGCAGCGACGCCGCGUGAACGGAGAAGGUAUUCGUAUCGUAAAGUUCUGUCCUAUGGGAAGAUAAUGACAGUACCAUAGAAGAAAGCUCCGGCUAAAUACGUGCCAGCAGCCGCGGUAAUACGUAUGGAGCGAGCGUUGUCCGGAAUUAUUGGGCGUAAAGGGUACGCAGGCGGUUUAAUAAGUCGAAUGUUAAAGAUCGGGGCUCAACCCCGUAAAGCAUUGGAAACUGAUAAACUUGAGUAGUGGAGAGGAAAGUGGAAUUCCUAGUGUAGUGGUGAAAUACGUAGAUAUUAGGAGGAAUACCAGUAGCGAAGGCG